AAGCCUAACUUACCAAUUUUGGUUUCCAUCCAGAUCAUUUUUUGGUGAAAGAAGCAAUUAAGCCUAACUUUUCAACCCAUUCCUCUGACGUGCAAAGUGCUGAGGAUUGAUUUCCACCGUUCUCUUCUAUCUUUACCAUUUUCUCUGAUUGCAAUCAACCCAAUGUUGGAGUCCAUCCAUCCAUCCCUCUGCUAAUUUCAUUUUUUGGUGACAGAAGAGAAACCAAAUUAAGUUUGCCAAACCAUAUCAUUGCUUUUAAACCAUUAUAAGUAGAACCAUAGCUUUUGCAUUCUCUUUGCCAUUACACUCCUUUGUUGAAGUCAUCGAUUGCCAAGGUAAUUACUGAAAUCAAAUCGCCGCCCAAUUUUGUGUUGUUCGCUGCAUUUUUUUCCUAAGUCAUUUGAAUAUUAAAAGAAAACCUAAACUAAAUCGCCAUUCCUACUUCCUUUUCAUCUUCUUCUUCCCCCUUUCUCUGCAUUCGGUAUUCUGCUUCUCUACUUCCUCCUCUAAAAACUUUUCCAGACAACAAUUUUUCCUUAAAUCAGGUACGCAUCGAAAAUACACAAAGCAAGAUGGAUAUAAUUGUUAUUUUCAAAAAUUCAAAAAUGGGGUGUUCCUGUUCAAUUAUUUGUUAGAAACUGUGCUUCACCAAUUUCCAGUUAAAUUGUAGUAGAAGAGGCUGCUUGUUUGGGAACUUUCCAAACCAUAAUAAUUACUACUACGGUCGAAGCCUAACAAAUUGGCAUUUGCUAUCUUCAAAAUUUCAGAGUUUUCCAUCCACUGUUUGUUGAAGAAUUCAAGUGAGAAGUCAUCAUGGCUGAAUUACUAUUAGCGCAUAUAUUUUUGUUAGGUGCUUUCGGAAUUGUCUGUGCUCACUUUGUUAACAUAACUAUUUUGGAGACUGCAAUUGCCAAAGGAGCAGUAUGCUACCCCUCCGGGCUUAUAGCCGAGGGUAUGGAGCGGAAAUUGACAACUGCCACAUCUAUUUACAGGGUGGUGGGUGAUGUCGGAAUGUUCUGACUGCCUUGCUAGGUCAAGAUCUGCAUUAGGAAGUGGUCCAAAACCUGACAACAUAUCUUUCGACGGGAUGCUUGAAGAUAAUUCCACCUUUAAUCGCGGCCCACAACCUGACUUUUAGGGGUGCAAGAAUCUACAAUGCCAUUAUGGGUGUUAUUAUCAGGUGGUUCAGCAGGGGGACUUGGCACAAUCUUACAUUGUGACAAGUUCAAAACAUUAUUGUUGAUACUACUAGGGUUAAGUGCUUAUCGGAUUUAGGAUUUUUUUAUUCAUGGAGAACAUUUUGUUGGGGCUGGCUGGAGAGAAAAUUGUUUCUUCGACGUGAUAUCAACACAUUUAUAUAUUCUUUACAUUAUUUCAACCCACUUUGUUACUUAAUCAAGUACAGUAUAUUUGAUCAAAAUUUUCCUCAUUUUUGCCAUGUGUAUAUACAGGGUUUGACGAAUUUGUUGCCUACCUCAUGCACAUCCAAAUUUAGUCCAACUCUGUGUUUCUUUCCAGAAAAUUUGGUCCAAGAUGUCAAAACUCCAUUAUUUCUAAUCGAAUCGGCAUUUGAUCGAUUUCAGGUAUGGGCAAUCUUAUUACUUUAAUAUUCAUUAAUUUCGUUGCUGUCACUAUAUAUAUGUAUAUGUAUAUGUAUUCUUUUCCAUUCUACUUUCAUGUUAUAGAUCUUAGAAAAUGUGUUCCGAGAUAAAACUUCAAGAUGGCACAAUUGCACAUCUGACUUGAUGCAUUGCAAUUUAACUGAGAUAUUUAUGAAGGGUAUAUUCAAGAUUUUUUUCACUAAUUUGGACUUAAAUUAAUAAGAAGCAAACUCUCAUAUUAAUUUCUCUAUUUUGUUUAGGUUUUAGGAAUACAUUCCUAAACACUUUACGAAUACAUUUGCUAAUAGCUCAUCGAGAAUAGGUUAUUUUGUACAUACCUGCUAUGCACAUGGCCACAUAUGUAGCAAAGACUAUUCAACAUGCUCAUCAUUUUCUGGACACAACGCGCUUGAUAAUAAGACGAUAGCACGAGCCGUGAGCGACUGGUUCUUUGACCGGAGUGAAUUCAAGCAAAUGGACAUUUGCAACGAUAUGCCACGGAACUGCACUGUCUUUAGAUGGCAUUCUUUUUUGCAAAAGUGUGCAGCAUGGAAUGCCAUAAAUUAAUAGCCUUUGGAUUUUGAUUUCUAUUUUCUAUUAAUGAAUGAAGGAUAAAGUUUUCAAUUAAAUGCAGCUUCUUAACUACAAGUUAAUUGCUCUGAAUUAAGAUCGUGAUAAUAGAUACAUAUGUAGCAAAGACUAUUCAACUUGCUCAUCAUUUUCUGGACACAACGCGCUUGAUAAUAAGACGAUAGCACGAGCUGUGAGCGACUGGUUCUUUGACCGGAGUGAAUUCAAGCAAAUGGACAUUUGCAACGAUAUGCCACGGAACUGCACUGUCUUUAGAUGGCAUUCUUUUUUGCAAAAGUGUGCAGCAUGGAAUGCCAUAAAUUAAUAGCCUUUGGAUUUUGAUUUCUAUUUUCUAUUAAUGAAUGAAGGAUAAAGUUUUCAAUUAAA
Molecule: long non-coding RNA, 2558 nt
Organism: Salvia splendens (bonfire salvia)
Lineage: Eukaryota; Viridiplantae; Streptophyta; Magnoliopsida; Lamiales; Lamiaceae
Exons: 10
Source: RefSeq, a predicted model, not a curated record